This 425-nucleotide ribosomal RNA is filed under the name uncultured bacterium. Its description in RNAcentral is "partial 16S ribosomal RNA". It matches the Rfam family "Bacterial small subunit ribosomal RNA", at positions 354 to 796 of the family's 1533-position model. The record is from RNAcentral.
GUGGGGGAUAUUGCACAAUGGGGGAAACCCUGAUGCAGCGACGCCGCGUGAAGGAAGACGUACUUCGGUAUGUAAACUUCUAUCAGCAGGGAAGAAGAUGACGGUACCUGACUAAGAAGCCCCGGCUAACUACGUGCCAGCAGCCGCGGUAAUACGUAGGGGGCAAGUGUUAUCCGGAUUUACUGGGUGUAAAGGGAGCGUAGACGGUGAAGCAAGUCUGAUGUGAAAACCCGGGGCUCAACUCCGGGAUUGCAUUGGAAACUGUUUUACUUGAGUGCUGGAGGGGCAAGCGGAAUUCCUGGUGUAGCGGUGAAAUGCGUAGAUAUCAGGAAGAACACCGGUGGCGAAGGCGGCUUGCUGGACAGUAACUGACGUUGAGGCUCGAAAGCGUGGGGAGCAAACAGGAUUAGAAACCCCUGUAGUCC